UAUGUGCCAGUGUGUUAUUGUAAUAUAAAAAAACUAUGGAUAGUGAUGCCGAGUGACAGUGAUUUGAAACACAUACAGGUCGACAAAACCUUAUAAAAUCCGUUUUCGAUGGAUUAUUAGAUAGAUUCGAUUUUUUUACUGCUACGAAAAUUCAUGUGAAUGAAAUGAAAAUGAUUUGGCAUGACAACGGUGAAACUAUGAGAGCUAAUUUUUCACCCGAUGAAUUGGCACGAAUGAAUCAAGAAGGCAUAGAUUUAAAACAAUUUGAGAAAAUCACCAAGAAAAUUUGCAAAGACAAUGACCAAGAC
Molecule: long non-coding RNA, 308 nt
Organism: Adelges cooleyi (spruce gall adelgid)
Lineage: Eukaryota; Metazoa; Arthropoda; Insecta; Hemiptera; Adelgidae
Exons: 3
Source: RefSeq, a predicted model, not a curated record